GUYUUUUUGUUUAAAAUUUAAAGUCGGGCCUGCCCACUGAAAAUUUAAAUGGCCGUGGUAUUUUGACCGUGCUAAGGUAGCAUAAUCAUUAGUUUUUUAAUUGAAAGCUGGAAUGAAAGGUUUGAUAAAAAAAUAACUGUCUCUAUUUAAUUUUAUUAAAAAUUUAUUUUUAAGUUCAAAAGCUUAAUUUUGAUUAAAAGACGAGAAGACCCUAUAGAGUUUAAUAAUUUAGGAUAACUUGUAUUUUAGAAUUAAUUUAUUUAUUUUUUAAAAUUAUUUAAUUGGGGUGAUUGAAAAAUUUAAUUAACUUUUUUUAUAUUUAACCAUUAAUUUAUGAUAAUUUGAUCCAAUUUUUUUGAUUAUAAGAUAAAAUUACCUUAGGGAUAACAGCGUAAUUUUUUUAGAAAGUUCAAAUUAAAAGAAAAGAUUGCGACCUCGAUGUUGGAUUAAAAUUAAAUUUUGGUGUAGAAGCUAAAAAUUUGAGUCUGUUCGACUUUUAA
Molecule: ribosomal RNA, 500 nt
Filed under: Calligrapha ramulifera
Lineage: Eukaryota; Metazoa; Arthropoda; Insecta; Coleoptera; Chrysomelidae
Description: partial 16S ribosomal RNA
Source: RNAcentral